This 432-nucleotide ribosomal RNA is filed under the name uncultured bacterium. RNAcentral's name for it is "partial 16S ribosomal RNA". It matches the Rfam family "Bacterial small subunit ribosomal RNA", at positions 29 to 507 of the family's 1533-position model. The record is from RNAcentral.
ACGCACGCUGGCGGCAGGCCUCACCCAUGCAAGUCGAGCGAGGACUUCGGUCCUAGCGGCGGACGGGUGAGUAACGCGUGGGAACGUGCCCUUUGCUUCGGAAUAGCCCUGGGAAACUGGGAGUAAUACCGGAUGAGCCCUUUGGGGGAAAGAUUUAUCGGCGAAGGAUCGGCCCGCGUUGGAUUAGGUAGUUGGUGGGGUAAUGGCCUACCAAGCCGACGAUCCAUAGCUGGUUUGAGAGGAUGAUCAGCCACACUGGGACUGAGACACGGCCCAGACUCCUACGGGAGGCAGCAGUGGGGAAUCUUAGACAAUGGGGGAAACCCUGAUCUAGCCAUGCCGCGUGAGCGAUGAAGGCCUUAGGGUUGUAAAGCUCUUUCAGCUGGGAAGAUAAUGACGGUACCAGCAGAAGAAGCCCCGGCUAACUCCGUG